CCUACGGGCGGCAGCAGUGGGGAAUAUUGCACAAUGGGGGAAACCCUGAUGCAGCGACGCCGCGUGAGUGAAGAAGUAAUUCGUUACGUAAAGCUCUAUCAGCAGGGGAGAAACACUGACCUUACGGUCAGCAGACGGUACCUGAGUAAGAAGCCCCGGCUAACUACGUGCCAGCAGCCGCGGUAAUACGUAGGGGGCAAGCGUUAUCCGGUUUUACUGGGUGUAAAGGGAGCGUAGACGGUGCGGCAAGUCUGGAGUGAAAUGCCGCGGCUUAACUGGGGAACUGCUUUGGAAACUGGCGAACUAGAGUGCGGGAGGGGUAAGCGGAAUUCCUGGUGUAGCGGUGAAAUGCGUAGAUAUUAGGAGGAACACUGGUGGCGAAGGCGGCUUACUGGACCGUAACUGACGCUGAGGCUCGAAAGCGAGGGGAGCAAACAGGAUUAGAUACCCCAGUAGUC
This 458-nucleotide ribosomal RNA is filed under the name uncultured bacterium. RNAcentral's name for it is "partial 16S ribosomal RNA". It matches the Rfam family "Bacterial small subunit ribosomal RNA", at positions 338 to 795 of the family's 1533-position model. The record is from RNAcentral.